CACCAAAAUACUAUUCUAUUAAGAGCCCCCUAUUUCUAAUUUUGAGAGCGCCCUAGGCGUUUAUUAUGUCGAAUACGGUAUUCAUACUAAUUGCCAAUCUCUAUAAUGUUGAUUGUAUUAACCAUGCAGUGUCUACAUCCAGUUUGCAUUGACAAUAAUCAUAUGAUUGUGACAGAUAAAGCUGAUUCUUAACUUCAUUAGGCCUUGCUUUUUAUGUUUCCUUGUUCUAAACUGAUGUUUCAAAUUCCAACAUAAACAAAUUAUUAAUGUUAUUCUUUUUUCUCUUCACACCAAAAGAUAUCUGCAUUGCACAAUGACUCUUAUUAUUUUAUUUAAUAUCUUGGCACACUUGUGCAUGUGUACGAGUACGGUAUUUGAUUACCCAUGCAUGACUUUUUAGCAGUCAUCUGUUUCUGAACUGAAUACUAUGCUAAUAAAGAUAAGUAACAUAAAAAAGGGACUCUGGUUUUCUUUCAGGUUUGGAGAAUCAAUCAAUUCAUUGUGAAAACAUUUUUAAUUUCUUACAUAAGUUACUUUGAUCUUGAUAAGAUCAAAAUAGAUCCAAAUUAAAUUGAGGAGAUUAAAUUAUGCAGUCUAAUUCAUUUCAGCCAGUCUGUCUAAAAUCUGGUCCUAUUUUUCAGGCAAUAAUAAAUGAAUGAAAAUUUAAGAUAAAAUGUGAAUCAAUCAAUAUGCAUAUUUACAUUUAGUACUAACUACUAAAUGACUUUAUCGCGCGUAUCUAAACCAUUGGCUAAUUACGCCUGUAACCUAAUCACCCCUUGUAAUUGAAUCACCCCCGGGUCAGCACCCUGCACCAUGCCCCGGGCAAUAGAUCCCGUGCAAGCGUCAUGGACUGUGUGUAUUUAUGGACAAUUUAUUGCAUGCCCUGGCACUUGUUUUGCUCCAGUAAGGAUAUUAUCUCCACAGGCACGGGCAUACACAGCUCAGUGGCUCGUGCCUCUCCUUGGCAUAUCCCGGGAUAAUGACUGAAAUUUUCAGUCAAAAUACAUAUUGGGCCUGAUAAUAGACACUGACUGUAACAUAUGUAAGUAUAAUCUGUUACAUGAAAAAACAAAUAACAUAUAUAUAUCCCUUUAUCUACAUGGAAUGAUUGUGGGGUUCAGAUGGAAUUUAUUUAACCAUCAAAAGAUUUGAUGAUAAACUUUCUAAAUUCAUAUUUGCUAUAUGAUAAUAAUAUCUACAAAAUAUACUUUAUACUACAGAUGUCUUGAAGUAGUGUUGAAUGAAAAUCAGGAUACUUAGAUACAGCAGGAUAGUGUGUGGGUUUGUAUGGGAAAUAAUUUGUCAACAUAAAAAUAAAUAUAAUGUUACUAAAACAAGAAGAUAAAACUUUAGAUCUAUUUAUGCAUCAUACACAUUUUGUGGGGUAGUCAGUAUGAUUUGUUGUUUUUUGGGACAAAUCUCUGUAAUUAACUACUAUUUUAAGAGCAUGAGUAUCAGAAUUCUGUAAGAAAUGAUGGAUCAAUGAAUUAACACCUGUGAUGACUCAGAGCACUUAAUGGUGGGACACAUGUUAUAAGGGGCAGAAUAAUAUGGGUAAAUCUCUUAUUUCAAAGAAUGAUGACAAAUAUGUAUAUUGCAACUGAGUAACUGAGUGCUUAAUAGAUGCAUGGUAGAUGAUCAUUUGGCCUAUUUCUAAAAAAAUAAUAUAAAUUUAAAUAUUCAGAUGCAACUUUAAUUUUGAUAUAAAAAGUAACAUUUAAAAUCAGUUGUUUUAUUAUUUUGAACAUUCUUAAAAUAUUUGUAAAGGCACGGAUGUAUACUUACUAUAUGGAUCAUUGGUAAAGGCCUGUCAAAUAUGUCUGUGUGCUGCAAAUGUUGGCGUAUCACUAAUUUUAUUAAAUUGAAGUCCAUGGUAGUAUUUGUUGAGAUUUGAAUGCUUGAAUUGUUGUGGGAAAUAACACAAAGGCUGAUACAUAAAAUGAGUUUGCAUUAUUUCAUUGAUGCAAUAUGUAAGCCCAGACUGACAGAAAACUGACCUAGAAAAUACCGUGGCAAUAUACCAAUUUUCAUGAUGUUUUCCCCGCUAUAUUCCAUAGUGCCAAUUCGUCUUGUAGUUGAAGACUCAACAAAUGUUGAUAUUAUAAACUAAUAAUCACUACAAAAUAUGUGCUAGUUAGAAAUAUUCAGUUGUAAACGUUUUUGAAGGUGCAACAGGAAAACUCUUUAGCUUGGCUCGGUCUCUACAUGUCAGAGUUGAAUUAAGUGUGUCUUCUAAGUUAGUAAAUGUGGAAUUAGAUUUAAUUUUCUUUUUUAAUUUUUUCUUUUUAAUGCCACACUCAGCAAGAUUCCAGCUAUGACUGUGGUCUGUAAUAAUUGGCCAGACAAUCCAAUGAUUGAUAUCAUGAGCAUCGAUCCGAGCAAUUGUAAUAUGAUGACAUACAUCAAACAAGGCAGCAAGCCUGACCACGUCAUUCCAUUAGUCGCCUCCUUACGACAAGACCAUUUUUCAUGUGGCUGUUUCAAAUGCCAGUUUUUUUGCAAGUUAAGAUAUUUGGUAUAUAGAUGAGAUGAUCUUUAUAGCCAUGUUUUUGUGGGAUCGACGUUUUGUCACAGCGGUGAAUCAGACAAACAUUAUUAUGGCUACAAAUAUGCCUGACAUUUGGAACUUUUAAUUUUUAACAAGCUGUGAAACAGACGAACAUGGGUAUAGGUACAAAUAAGAUUUUGAAUUAUAUAAACAAAGUUUCUGAAAAAUAUGGGGAAAAACAUGAACAAACAAAUAUAUCAUUGGAAAAAAUCACUGAAAAUGUUGGUGAUAUGGGAGGAAGUUAACCUUCUUGUUGUCUUGAAAAAGAUGAACAAGUGUCACACAGUUGGCAACCCAAGAAAUAUAAAUGUUGGCUUAUUUGUCAUAAAAAUAAUGACAUUGUAAUUUUGCAAAAUAUUAAAAGAUGCAAGGAUUUCAGAUUUUCAACAAGUCCUCUUCACUGUCAACUACACAUCACUAUUUGUUUCCACAUUUGCCCUAUCAUCAGACCACUGCUCUUCCGUGUGCAAAGGCAGGAUAAUCCUCACUUCUUUCCAGACAUGAAUCAACUAGAGACAGAAAAUUAGGGAGGUGGGAGACAGUAUUAGAGGUAGUAUGCUUAGAAUUAUUAAUAAUGAUAACUAUUGUUUUGAUAAUUCUUGCGAAUCCUCUACCUCUAUUUCAUUAUUGCCCAACUAUACCAGAUAGAAAGGCAGGUUCUGCCUCAAGUUAACUCCCAGGAUUGUUGACAGGAAAUCCUGUAGACUCUUAUUACACUAUCUUUGAGACUGCUUCAGAUCCAAAGGAGAUGACUUCCAAACUAUUCACCUCAAAAUGACUUGAAAAUUGUGCAGUAGAAUAAUUAGUCCAUAUGUGAUAGCUUCCCUUGAAUUACCAUUAUGUUGCUGAUAUUCUUAUUAAUGAUUGUCUUUGAACCUUCAACAUUUUGACAACAUUUCCGGUUCCCUUAAUGUCAUUGAUGAUGUUAAGUCCGGUCCAUAUGAUGUCAAUGAUGAAGUCACUUCCUGUCCUCACAAUGCCAUUAAUGAUGUCACUUCUGGUCACAUUUCUCUUCCGAUUUUGACGUCAUUUCCGGUAAAUCUGUGAUACAUGUUGUUUGUUUGCUUAACCCUUUGGCCCCGACUGCCCGAUUUAUCGGGCAGCAUAAACCAUGGCCCAGUACACGGCUGCCCGAUAAAUCGGGCAGCUACUGUCCAAGUCCCACACACAGCUGCCCGAUAAAUCGUGCGGCACGAACGAGUUUACAAAAUCGCUCUUUCUACUGCCUUUAUCGUGUGUAAUCUCGUUCUAAAAAUAGAAACGAGAUCGACACGUAAUGACACAUCAUUCCAUGGAAUUUCCCAGUGUUUUUGGCGUGAAAAUUGCGGAUAUGUCACCUGUUUUCGCGACAGGUAUUUUUUCUUGCUUGAAUCGUAAAUCUAGGGUAAUGGCGGCCAACUACGUUUCGGAUAGCAAUCAGAUGACUAACAACGACUCUAUCGGGAAUAAUAAUGUGUUUGAUUUGAAUAAUUUACGCAAAGGGGAGAGGGAAUUUCGCAAAGAUUUUGGUGAAGAUUUUGACGGUUUUGACGAGGUGUUCCCCGCCAACUUUCAAGAAUGGGAGUGGCAGAGGGACCACAACGGUGGAGACAUGAGGGAUUUUGAAGAGGCAACCGGACUCAAGAAUACUCAUUGACACGGUGAGUGAAGAGUCGUGCUAUUGAUUUUUUCCAACUGUUUUACAAUGAUUCUGUGUUUAAACAACAACAACAAAGGUGAGUGGCAAGACCUAUCUCUUUUUUUUAAAAUUUAUUUUUCUGAUCGCAAUCCGAAUUGUAGUUUGCUGGUUUGUCGUAUGUCCUUGUAUUUCGCUCAAAUUGAAUAAAAUUUAUUUCCAUAUUCAUGUUCGUUUUCUUGUUUUUCACAUCUUUAAUUGAAAUUUUAGUAACUGUAAUAAUUAAUUAUUUAUUAAUUGAUUUAAUAAAGUACUGAUUUAAUUUAUUAUGCAAUUGUAAAUAGCAGUGUAUUGUUAAUAUGUUAUCACAACUUGUAUAUUUGCAGAACUUGAAUUUACGAUCUUUCUGUCCUUUUACAAUAUUUCCCUCCUUUCAGAUCAAUCUGUGAUAUCUUCCCUGUGAUGUCAUUCUUAUAGUAGCUGUGGUUCAAUGUUCAGAUGUGCAUUAAGAGAAUUUACCUUUAACACCUGGGAUUACCUGUGCCGUCCAAGAUGACAAGACCACCGUGUUAUGUUUACCUUGUAUCUGUGAUUUAUUUUUGUGAUUUUUAAUACAAUUUGAGCCAAAAUUCA
Molecule: long non-coding RNA, 4799 nt
Filed under: Haliotis rufescens (red abalone)
Lineage: Eukaryota; Metazoa; Mollusca; Gastropoda; Lepetellida; Haliotidae
Description: uncharacterized LOC125384265
Source: RNAcentral